AGUGAACGCUGGCGGUAGGCCUAACACAUGCAAGUCGAACGGCAGCACAGUAAGAGCUUGCUCUUACGGGUGGCGAGUGGCGGACGGGUGAGGAAUACAUCGGAAUCUACUUUUUCGUGGGGGAUAACGUAGGGAAACUUACGCUAAUACCGCAUACGACCUACGGGUGAAAGCAGGGGAUCUUCGGACCUUGCGCGAUUGAAUGAGCCGAUGUCGGAUUAGCUAGUUGGCGGGGUAAAGGCCCACCAAGGCGACGAUCCGUAGCUGGUCUGAGAGGAUGAUCAGCCACCUUGGAACGUGGACACGGUCCAGACUCCUACGGGAGGGAGCAGUGGGGAAUAUUGGACAAUGGGCGCAAGCCUGAUCCAGCCAUACCGCGUGGGUGAAGAAGGCCUUCGGGUUGUAAAGCCCUUUUGUUGGGAAAGAAAAGCAGCAGGUUAAUACCCCGCUGUUCUGACGGUACCCAAAGAAUAAGCACCGGCUAACUUCGUG
RNAcentral lists this ribosomal RNA (492 nucleotides) under uncultured bacterium. Its description in RNAcentral is "partial 16S ribosomal RNA". It matches the Rfam family "Bacterial small subunit ribosomal RNA", at positions 29 to 507 of the family's 1533-position model. The record is from RNAcentral.